This 495-nucleotide ribosomal RNA is filed under the name uncultured bacterium. RNAcentral's name for it is "partial 16S ribosomal RNA". It matches the Rfam family "Bacterial small subunit ribosomal RNA", at positions 28 to 507 of the family's 1533-position model. The record is from RNAcentral.
GAUGAACGCUGGCGGCGUGCCUAAUACAUGCAAGUAGAACGCUGAAGGAGGAGCUUGCUCUUCUGGAUGAGUUGCGAACGGGUGAGUAACGCGUAGGUAACCUGCCUGGUAGCGGGGGAUAACUAUUGGAAACGAUAGCUAAUACCGCAUGACAACAGUUAUUGUAUGAUAACUGUUUAAAAGGGGCAACUGCUCCACUACCAGAUGGACCUGCGUUGUAUUAGCUAGUUGGUGAGGUAACGGCUCACCAAGGCGACGAUACAUAGCCGACCUGAGAGGGUGAUCGGCCACACUGGGACUGAGACACGGCCCAGACUCCUACGGGAGGCAGCAGUAGGGAAUCUUCGGCAAUGGACGGAAGUCUGACCGAGCAACGCCGCGUGAGUGAAGAAGGUUUUCGGAUCGUAAAGCUCUGUUGUAAGAGAAGAACGAGUGUGAGAGUGGAAAGUUCACACUGUGACGGUAUCUUACCAGAAAGGGACGGCUAACUACGUG